ACUGUGUUUCAGUUUUCCCAAAUUAUUUUUCUCAAUCACAGAUUCUCUCAAAAUUAGGUUUUCUUUUCCUUUUCUCCAUCACAAUUUUCACGCUUUCGCUUGCCGCCUCGAAGGUUUCCGAAGGUUCGUCCCUUCCCGUUCGUCAAAGGUUCGCUCGCCGCCGUUGAAGGUUCUCGAAGGUUCGUUGCCGUUGAAGACUCGCUGUAGUCAAAGACUCGCCGUCGUCGAAGACUUGCUACAUUUGAAGGCUUUGGCGCACUGUUGUCGAAGACUCGCCCUCGUCAAAGCCUUGCAUGUGCUAUUACUUCCACAGCACGUGGCCUAUAUCCCCUCCAAAUCUAAGGUGUACCUCAGGUCAAAUUGGAGUAGAAGUGCUAUCCACAGUUCCAGGUUUCAAACCAAAACCAAGGAAUCCACAGUUUAAAAGUAUAGGUUGAUAUAGACAUUUAGACAUUACUGAAGCACGCGUGAAGAUCUUGUCAUCUCAAGCAUAGAUUGAGGGGCCAGAGUGUGGAAAUUGUAGUGGCUGGAAUGAAAGUACAGGAAGCAGUGAUGGGAAAUAGAAAAAUGGUAUUGAGCAUUAAAUUUGUCUAACCAGCUAUAACAAUUUUGAGAGAGAAUGGAAUUUAUUCAGGUUCAAAAUGGUGGUGACCACUCAGGGUUUGACAACUGCUAUUCCAAGUAGCCUUUGACAAUUUCUUGAGCCUCUCAGGGUUGCUUUUUCUGUGUUCUGCAUCAUUGACGUGAAUGUCAGAAACGGUAGAAACCCUCACACCAAAUACUUCUAGAAUGGAUCAUUUACCUUCUUAUAUCGAUUCAUCGUCAAUUGAGAAUAGUAAAGGUCGAUCAGAUGUGUGGGGACAUUUUACUAAACAAAACCCUUAUUCUGAGAAGAAGGCUAAAUGCAAUUAUUGUGGUGAUUUGAUUAAAUAUUUGGCUGGAACAAGCGGGAUGAGGAAUCAUUUGACGAGAUGCAAAGAAAAUCCUAAUAAAGAAGCAUUCAAAAGGCAAAGGCUUUUAUCAUCAACUACAGAAGUUAGUGUUAGCCCUUCACCAACUAUUUCUAAAUUUGACCAAAAUGCAUCUCGAAUGAAGUUGGUGAAGAUGUUUGUGAAGUCCGAGCUUCCUUUUCGAUUUGUGGAAAAUGAGGACUUCCGUGACUUUGUAUGGUCCUUGCAAC
Vigna angularis (adzuki bean) is the source of this 1180-nucleotide long non-coding RNA. RefSeq lists it as uncharacterized. The transcript has 5 exons. NCBI's taxonomy places the organism in Eukaryota, Viridiplantae, Streptophyta, Magnoliopsida, Fabales, Fabaceae. The record is from RefSeq and is a predicted model, not a curated record.